RNAcentral lists this transfer RNA (77 nucleotides) under Clostridia bacterium. Its description in RNAcentral is "tRNA-Arg". It matches the Rfam family "tRNA". From Rfam's summary of the family: Transfer RNA (tRNA) molecules are approximately 80 nucleotides in length. Their secondary structure includes four short double-helical elements and three loops (D, anti-codon, and T loops). Further hydrogen bonds mediate the characteristic L-shaped molecular structure. tRNAs have two regions of fundamental functional importance: the anti-codon, which is responsible for specific mRNA codon recognition, and the 3' end, to which the tRNAs corresponding amino acid is attached (by aminoacyl-tRNA synthetases). tRNAs cope with the degeneracy of the genetic code in two manners: having more than one tRNA (with a specific anti-codon) for a particular amino acid; and 'wobble' base-pairing, i.e. permitting non-standard base-pairing at the 3rd anti-codon position. Lineage: Bacteria; Bacillati; Bacillota; Clostridia. The record is from RNAcentral.
GUGCCUGUUGCUCAGCUGGAUAGAGAAACGGCCUUCUAAGCCGUCGGUCGGGGGUUCGAAUCCCUUCAGGUACGCCA